This 31-nucleotide non-coding RNA is filed under the name Mus musculus (house mouse). Lineage: Eukaryota; Metazoa; Chordata; Mammalia; Rodentia; Muridae. The record is from RNAcentral.
UAACACACAAAGCAAACCUUUGAGUCCGCGU